UCCUGCUCCAGCGGCAAGAUGUGAUCCCAGCAAGGAGGGACGCCAAUAAGUUUCUACUUUAUUCAUUUCAGCCACCAGUUUGAUUAUUUCCUGGCAUCUACUCCUCCAUGGAAUGGUGCAAUUGGGUGUUAUUCCCACAGAAACAGCUGGCCUGAAAAAGGGGGAGCACAUGGACCCCAGACUGAUGUAUGGGAAGCCAGCACGGGACUGAUCCAGACCCCUGAACGUGGAUGUCAAUGAGGAGACCUCAGCACUCUAUGGGGCCCCUGGUAGUGGAUCAGUAUUUUUCCCUGAUAUAAG
RNAcentral lists this long non-coding RNA (300 nucleotides) under Cricetulus griseus (Chinese hamster). Its description in RNAcentral is "lncRNA (ENSCGRG00015041149.1)". Lineage: Eukaryota; Metazoa; Chordata; Mammalia; Rodentia; Cricetidae. The record is from RNAcentral.